CAGCCGUAAACAAUGUGCGUUAGGUGUGUCGGUAACCACGCGUUACUGAUGCGCCGAAGAGAAAUCGUGAAACGCACCACCUGGGAAGUACGGUCGCAAGGCUGAAACUUAAAGGAAUUGGUGGGGGAGCACCACAACAGGUGGAGCCUGCGGUUUAAUUGGAUUCAACGCCGGACAUCUCACCGGAUAAGACAGCUGAAUGAUUGUCAAUCUGAAGGUUUUACAUGACUAGCUGAGAGGAGGUGCAUGGCGUCAGUGACU
Molecule: ribosomal RNA, 261 nt
Filed under: uncultured archaeon
Lineage: Archaea
Description: partial 16S ribosomal RNA
Rfam family: Archaeal small subunit ribosomal RNA
Source: RNAcentral